CCUACGGGAGGCAGCAGUAGGGAAUAUUGCUCAAUGGGGGAAACCCUGAAGCAGCAACGCCGCGUGGAGGAUGAAGGUUUUCGGAUUGUAAACUCCUUUUGUUAGAGAAGAUAAUGACGGUAUCUAACGAAUAAGCACCGGCUCACUCCGUGCCAGCAGCCGCGGUAAUACGGAGGGUGCAAGCGUUACUCGGAAUCACUGGGCGUAAAGAGCGCGUAGGCGGGAUAGCAAGUCAGAUGUGAAAUCCUAUGGCUUAACCAUAGAACUGCAUUUGAAACUGUUAUUCUAGAGUAUGGGAGAGGUAGGUGGAAUUCUUGGUGUAGGGGUAAAAUGCGUAGAGAUCAAGAGGAAUACUCAUUGCGAAGGCGACCUGCUAGAACAUAACUGACGCUGAUGCGCGAAAGCGUGGGGAGCAAACAGGAUUAGAUACCCCGGUAGUC
RNAcentral lists this ribosomal RNA (440 nucleotides) under uncultured bacterium. Its description in RNAcentral is "partial 16S ribosomal RNA". It matches the Rfam family "Bacterial small subunit ribosomal RNA", at positions 338 to 795 of the family's 1533-position model. The record is from RNAcentral.